GCCUUCUUCCUCCGCUCAGCCGCCUCAGUGACCAUCGUCAAGUCUGCCACAGGAGGAUAUUUUUUUGAGGUUAACCUGCUUUCUCCCUCGCAGGUCGAUUACUAUGUUCGUAUAAAUUUGUUUAAUCUUAGAAUUUCCGCAUGUGUUAGAAAUGUUUAUUUGAUUUGGGUCUGUAAACUAAAUUAUUAUUUUGGGACCUGUAAACUUAAUAUACUAUGCAUGUUUGAUGGAUUGGAUGAGGGAGCUGAGCUCCCAUUUAUUAUUAUGUUGAUGAGUAUGUGGAGGGUGAGCUGAGCUCCCCAAUUGACUAUAUAUUGUGUUUACAGGUCGGGUGAGUCGAAAACUCCCCGUUGGUAA
This is a long non-coding RNA of Hevea brasiliensis (rubber tree), 357 nucleotides long. RefSeq lists it as uncharacterized. Lineage: Eukaryota; Viridiplantae; Streptophyta; Magnoliopsida; Malpighiales; Euphorbiaceae. The record is from RefSeq and is a predicted model, not a curated record. The transcript has 2 exons.